This 44-nucleotide non-coding RNA is filed under the name Schistosoma mansoni. Lineage: Eukaryota; Metazoa; Platyhelminthes; Trematoda; Strigeidida; Schistosomatidae. The record is from RNAcentral.
AUCCAGCUGAAGAGUCCCGAAUAGGACGAACGUGCGCCCUGGAU